UGGAAGAUACCCGUAGCCUGCCUUCCUA
RNAcentral lists this non-coding RNA (28 nucleotides) under Homo sapiens (human). Lineage: Eukaryota; Metazoa; Chordata; Mammalia; Primates; Hominidae. The record is from RNAcentral.